GAUAUAGUUGUUACCAUCGGUUCUGAUGGGGAGCAGCCAAUGGCUAACACCUCGCUGCACUAUGAGACGUAAGGGGGAAAGUCUGGUGUAAGUCCGGCACUGUCCCGCAACUGUGAGCCAAAAUAUGGUAAGUCAGAAUGCCCACCGAUGGAAUUACAUUUAU
This 163-nucleotide non-coding RNA is filed under the name Anabaena sp. Lineage: Bacteria; Bacillati; Cyanobacteriota; Cyanophyceae; Nostocales; Nostocaceae. The record is from RNAcentral.